UAAUGGUAUAAAAUAUAUUUUCUUCCUGCACUCCAAUAGAUUGACUUGGAGACCCCAUUCCCAACUUUGGAGCUUCCCUGUCAUGCUGGCUGCAUUACACUGCAAAGUGUAAAGGUGGUGUAAAGGUGUUUCUGCAGGACCUUCUCUCCCCGUGCCUUAUUGAGCAGCUGCUGAUUUACAGUUGGCACCUCACCUGCAGCUCACCACACACAGAAGGAGUUCACCAGGCUGCUAAAAUGAGGGAAGGGUCUUGCUAAGUCCCUGUAGCCCCUCUUGCAAUCAUCCCAUGCACUUGAAGUGCUUCCUCCUAUGUUUCUGAAGAGAAGAGCCCAAAUCACAAGCUCAGGACUAUUUGGAUCUCAAGAUUGUUUCAGACUUAUCUCCUUUUACCAACAUCUGUUUUAAUCUUUGAUGAGGCAAACUGUCCCUUAGUGUGUGAUUUGGAAGAGAACCAAGAAAAACAAGGUUUUGAUUUUCAGUUCAUUUAAACACCAGAUAGUCAAGAAAUAUCAUCCUGCCAGCUAAUCGGAGUCAGGCUGCACGUUGCUGCUAAUCUGGGACUAGGAGCUGCACUGUGGCCCUGUGUUAUUGAUAGGACCAUGUGCAGAACAGCAACCACACUGAAGCAAAACAGGACGACAAGUGAAGUAGGAGAACAAGUUCUCCUCAUGCUUUGCCUGGAAGCCACGUGGAGAGUUUCUGGUGGGAAGCUGGUUGGCAGCAAGGGAAGUUUAUGGAUCAAGUGCGUGAGCCAGCAGAGAAGAUGAUGGGGGGUAUGAAUGUGCCUCUGAACUUGCAGUUGAGAGGGAUUAGAUUUGAAUACCACGACCCAGGCUCAUUUUAUCUUUCAGCGCUUUCACGCAGCAGCAAAUGGGAGCUGUCACUAUUGCGAAGGCUGUACAACCCUGAGGUCAGAGCAGCGGUUAGGACUGAUGCCUUUGGCAUUUAUUUUAGACCCCUGGGAAGAGAGAAGCACCUGUAGAGAGAAAUGCGGGGGAUCAGCAUGCUCUGGUGAUGAUACCAGCAUGGAGCAGGGCACAGCUGCUGCAAAUGUGGAUCUGGAAGCAGGUUCUGCCUCACAGCCUUCACCAGAGGAGUAAGGGCACUGUCUUACCUCAGCCUUCUUCUCACCUGGUGCACUUGCCUAACCCAAAACAAGCAGCAUGACCUACCUUUUCAACACUGGAAACUUGCUCACCUGCUGGGGUGGAGGGGAAAGAUAUUUGAAUAUUACAUGUAGCUGUGCCAACCGAUGACACCUGUCAUAACAUGAAUAAACUACUAAGAGUUUGCA
Molecule: long non-coding RNA, 1294 nt
Filed under: Anser brachyrhynchus (Pink-footed goose)
Lineage: Eukaryota; Metazoa; Chordata; Aves; Anseriformes; Anatidae
Description: lncRNA (ENSABRG00000002416.1)
Source: RNAcentral